UGGCACUUUUUCUAAAAGUAAAUUCAACUGGUUUAGAUUAAUUUUUUCGGUUUUUCCAGCUGUUUUCAUAAUAAAUGGUAAAAACCGGGAAAAACAUAGGAAAAACCGGAAAAUGUAAGAAAUUUAUUAUUUUAAAAUCGUAAAUAUUACUGCCUUUCAAAACAUGUAUAACCGAACUCCGCUCAGAAUCGUUUUUCGUUAGCAAUCGUUGCUUACACAUAAAAUUCGCCCAUACAUUCCAUACUUUCCCAACUUCUCUGCACCCAUAACAGUGGCCCGCCCAUGUUGCGAAAUAUGUCCGUAUCUUUUUAGGUAUGACUACUCCGAUAUAAGUGAGUAAUGAGUGUGUGCCGUUGAUUUAACGCGUUUUUACGUACCGCGGAAUAAAAUAAAACUCGUAUAAAUGACUUAUAAUAAACGCUCAGAUCGAUUCGCAAAAAAAAAAAAACGCUUCGUCUUGACAUAGUCAAGAUAGACCGAUAUCGUCUAUCGGUUUAAUAUUUUUUGCGGGACCGUUUCCCUCUGAAAAUGCAGAGAUACCAUUUUCCUUGACUGUCCGUUUUCUUUCAAAAAGAGACAAUUUAUUUUAUUUUAUUUUGAUUACACAAUCGUAUCCGUUUUUUUUUUCCAAACAUUUAAUUCAAUUUGGCAACAGUCCUACAUUAAAAAGUCCCGAUUUCAGCCGGGAACGCGCGAGAUCCUUGGGCUAGGGUCUGGCUCGCCCUGCUCCAUGGACAUAGGACGGUCCGGAGUGCGAGAAUUUCAAAAAUCGGAUCAGCGGUUCCAGCGAUCAUACCACCAAUACACGUGCAACCACUUUACAAUAUUGAAAUAAUAUUAAGUGCAGAUUGGUAUACGAUAUUAAUUAUAAAGGAACGGAUUUACAUGUACUUAAAACCAACAAACAGACGGUUUAAAAAUACAUCAAAAAAGCAUUACUUAAAAAUAUCCGAAAGCAAACGCGAAAAGGGUUUAAAAUUUUUCCCCCUCUAAACGGAUCUAUAAUUUGUAUACCAUCUACGAAAAUGACUUAACACAAAGUGAGUUUUUUUUUUUUUUUUAAAAAAUUCGUAGUUAAAAAUAAUAUCUUUGUGUUAAUCAUUUUUGUAGUUGAAGAACAUGUGUUUAGAGCGGUCAACAAGGAAACUCAUACAUCCCUCUAUAAUUUUUACUUUUUAAAAUGUUUAUCAAGCGGUUUUUUUGUCGAUUUUAAUCGCGCGUACAAGUCCGUUCACCAAAUUAUUACCGUAUAGAAGGGUGACAAUUAAUAUUCGUGUUUCGGUAACGGAGGCUAAAUGCCAAUGCAACGGUGGCGGGCGGGGAAACGGCUUAUACUUAUCCCGUUUUCGUCGAGGAAAAUUAUUACCGUACGGACGAUAUUUUCUGCAACGGCGACCGGCUAUAAAUAUUACAACAACAAUGUAUAACAAUGUAUUAUAAUAUAACAUCGCAUAUUACUGUUCACCACGCAUGCAGCAGUGUAGUAGUUUACCCAUUAUUAUCAUUAUAAUGUGUGUUCGGAUAAUGUUUUUUUGUGUUUUUUUUUUUUUCUCGUCGACUUGUGUUGUGAUAAUAAUAUUAUAAUUGACUCACGUCCGUACGCUGUCAUUAAAAUUUUUUCGUAACGUUAUCGUACGGUUUAUACUGUCGGACCUCGACUACGGUUUAGUUUUCGAUACAAGCGCGUGUAUAUUUAUAUUUACGCGCAACAUUAUUGUAUAUCCGUGUAUUGUAUAAUAUUUAUCGUAUCCAAUCCGUUACCUCUGUCGAAUACCAUAAUAAUAUUAUCGUAGUUAUUUAUACGCCUAUAAACGUCGUAUUCGUAAUAUAUAUAUAUAUUUAUAUUUAUGUAGUCUGCGGCA
Molecule: non-coding RNA, 1862 nt
Organism: Cinara cedri
Lineage: Eukaryota; Metazoa; Arthropoda; Insecta; Hemiptera; Aphididae
Source: the annotation of a GenBank genome assembly